CAGCUUGCUAACUUUGGUAGACGGAAGUACUUGCUCAUAUGCUAUGGAAAAACCAGCUAACAACGCGUAUCAAACUUCCUGUACGGACAUCUUCGACUUCAACAAGAUGUCGAAAGUUAGGAAAGUGUUAGAAGAUGCAAAGGAACAUAAUAUCACCGAAAUCGAUUUGGUUGACAAAAGCAUUGCUUCGUUUGAGGACAUGCCAGGAUUGUGGUCAAUGUACAAUGUGACUAGGUUAACACUGAGCCACAACAAGAUUAAAAGUGUUCCUCCGAGCAUAGCUAACCUCGUCAACCUGGAAGUCCUCACGUUGUUCAACAAUCAUAUAGAGGAAUUGCCCACUUCAAUUUCAUCUCUCCCAAAAUUAAAAAUUCUUAAUUUGGGGAUGAAUAGGCUGAACUCACUUCCUAGAGGAUUUGGUGCUUUCCCCCAACUUGAGGUGCUUGACUUAACCUAUAAUAAUUUAAAUGAAAAAACUCUACCCGGCAACUUCUUUAUGCUAGAAACCCUGAGGGCCCUUUAUUUUGGAGACAAUGACUUUGAGAAAAUUCCAGCAGAAAUUGGUAACUUGAAAAAUUUGCAAAUAUUGUGUUUCAGAGAAAAUGACUUGAUUAGUCUACCGAAAGAAAUUGGUCAGUUAACACGUCUACGAGAAUUACACAUACAAGGAAAUGCUCUCACUCUUCUUCCUCCCGAGAUGGGAAACAUUGACUUGAUUAGUCAACGAUGUGUUGUCAGAAUGGAUAACAAUGAAUGGCUUCCUCCAAUAGCAGACCAACUAGCAAUUGGUGUGUCCCAUGUGAUAGAGUUCAUCCGGACAGACACCUAUAAAUUUAUUUACGAUCGGAAUGCACAACAGGGAAAUUCUGCACCCCGGAAGCCUAAAGAUAAAUCGAAGAAAAUCAGCUGCAAACGGGAUCAUAACUAGUUAUUUUGAGGAGUAGUACUACUAUAAUGAUGAUUCUUGCUUGUAUCAUUUAACAAAGAAAUAUCAUGACUCUAAAUGGAAUUAUUUAUUUAAUGUGUUACAUGUGUUGUAUCAGUAUGUUUUAAAUUUUUCCACAGAAAUUUUUCUGCUUUUAAAUAUACAUUCAUGUGUUGAGUAGGUUGAGUUUAUUUUUAAUAAAGAUAAUCUGUUUCUGAGGUGAUAACCUGAUGAGAGGAUAACAGAAUAUCAAGAGGUUAGGAGAUGUUAUCGAAGAUAAUGAAUUUCCAAGCAUUGUCAAAAUAUAUGUGAACUUCUAACAAACAAAAAAAUUUAAGUCCACAAAAACAUUUUAAAGUCUUGCUUCAUUUAACAGUUUUUGUAUAAAGUUCUGCCAUCAUUGUUUUAAAGUAACUUACGUUGUUAUUUGUAGUAUGUUGUUUUAUUGUUUGCUGAAAAUGUGAAUACGGUUGAUAGUUGUUUAGGCAUUACUUUUUUUUUAUGGGUGCUGUUACUGUUCAACGUGUUUGAUGCUAAUCGUGAUGCCUUCAUUACGAUGCAACUGUUUGACACAUGCUUUUUUUUUUGUCAGGUAUAUUAAUAACAUUAAAACUAAUGAUAGUUUUAAGAAAGGUGUGAUAUUAACAAUUACAGAUUGCUGGAUUUUAUCCAGUGCCGUAGAUAACAGAACCUCGUGUGUGUUUGAGAAAAUAUUUAACGAUAUAUAUAUACCACUUGUAAGUUUUACAGUUUCCUAAUUUAACUGUAAAUGUAUUUCAUGUGAAAAAUUACAUGACUUUAUUUCUUUUCAUUGCUCUAAACUAUUCAUAAAUAAGACCUAAGAUAUUAAGAGUAAAAAAUGAAAAUGAGAUAUUAUUGGCACAAUGCAAAAUUCUCUGUUAGUUAUUUCAGAUCACAUUUUCUUCCAUUUUACAAAAAAAUAAAGUUUUUACCAGAGGCAUCGCUAGGUGCUUCAAAAGAUUCAGGGAUUGGGCCCAUAGGUGCAGGAGUUAUUCAUGGAUUGGGCCCAUAGGUGCAGGAGUUAUUCAGGGAUUGGGCCCAUAGGUGCAGGAGUUAUUAGCAUUUCAGUAUAAUAUCAAUCAUGGUUUUCUGUUCUGAUUUUUCAAGACACCAACUGGGGGAUUUGGAGCAGUGUCAAAUAGAAUUAGGGCACGGGCUCCAUGUGCCAGUACCCAGUGAUGCCUCUGGUUUUUACUCUUAACUUACAGUAGCAUAAUUCACCUGAAAAGAAAUUAAGACCUAUGUAGUUUAAUGAGCAAACACCAUGUAUUUACCCAAAAAUAUGUACCCAUUUAUCGUUGUGUACCCAUGAAACAUCUUCAUGUCAUAUCCCUUUUUUGUGUGUAUGUGUGUAUUACACUGUUAAAAAUGAAUAUAUGCUCAAAAAAUGUUGACUUUCUUGAUCUACAGUAUUAAUGUGGAACAUGUGAACAACUUGUGAUUUCUCUUGUACUUUUCUCAGGGUUAUAUGUAGAUUUCUCGUGUAUCAUGCAGAAUUCUGUUUUUUCUUGUACGUUUUUUCCUUUUUAUCACUGUCUCGGAUUUUCCUGUUUCUGUGCUUUACGUGUUUCCUAGUUUUCACUAUAUUAACAGAAGUUUUAAGUAUAAAAUUUCCAUAGUACUGAAUAUAUGUUCUUAGUUCAUGUGUGACAUAGGCUUGAUAUUGCUUUGCCGAUAUUUGACCAAUUCCCUUUUCAGUUUUUUUCAUGUAGUUUUUCCGAAAUUUGUCAGAUAGACAGUAAGUCGCUAGAAGUAAAACCAUUGUGGUCUGUCCUUGUGACUUAUUGGAAUUUAAUUUUUCUAAAUGUUUCAAGAUUAAAAUCGAAAUAUAAAGAAUUGAGUAAAGACAUGUUAUUUAAGCUCUAUAUAUAUCUAACAUCUGGUUUCUUGUAACAUCUGUUGCAUAGAAUUUUUGCAUUUGGGGUCCUAAGAGAUUCUUAUUAUGUUAUUUUUGAGAAAUCAGUAUAUUUUAGGAUUUUUUUAAUUUUUGUUUUAAUGAUAUGACUUAUCAAUAUUUCCAGAAGAGUAGAAUUUAAUCUUGUACAAAUAGAUGGUCUGGUUCAAUGAAAACAUCAAUC
This 3024-nucleotide unclassified non-coding RNA is filed under the name Limulus polyphemus (Atlantic horseshoe crab). Its description in RNAcentral is "ras suppressor protein 1-like, transcript variant X1". Lineage: Eukaryota; Metazoa; Arthropoda; Merostomata; Xiphosura; Limulidae. The record is from RNAcentral.